GGGUUGUGAGGUUAAGCGACUAAGCGUACACGGUGGAUGCCCUGGCAGUCAGAGGCGAUGAAGGACGUGCUAAUCUGCGAAAAGCGUCGGUAAGGUGAUAUGAACCGUUAUAACCGGCGAUGUCCGAAUGGGGAAACCCAGUGUGAUUCGUCACACUAUCGUUAACUGAAUACAUAGGUUAACGAGGCGAACCGGGGGAACUGAAACAUCUAAGUACCCCGAGGAAAAGAAAUCAACCGAGAUUCCCCCAGUAGCGGCGAGCGAACGGGGAGCAGCCCAGAGUCUGAAUCAGCUUGUGUGUUAGUGGAACGGUCUGGAAAGUCCGACGGUACAGGGUGAUAGUCCCGUACACCAAAAUGCACAGGUUGUGAACUCGAAGAGUAGGGCGGGACACGUGGUAUCCUGUCUGAAUAUGGGGGGACCAUCCUCCAAGGCUAAAUACUCCUGACUGACCGAUAGUGAACCAGUACCGUGAGGGAAAGGCGAAAAGAACCCCGGCGAGGGGAGUGAAAAAGAACCUGAAACCGUGUACGUACAAGCAGUGGGAGCACCUUCGGGUGUGACUGCGUACCUUUUGUAUAAUGGGUCAGCGACUUAUAUUCUGUAGCAAGGUUAACCGUAUAGGGGAGCCGCAGGGAAACCGAGUCUUAACUGGGCGUUAAGUUGCAGGGUAUAGACCCGAAACCCGGUGAUCUAGCCAUGGGCAGGUUGAAGGUUGGGUAACACUAACUGGAGGACCGAACCGACUAAUGUUGAAAAAUUAGCGGAUGACUUGUGGCUGGGGGUGAAAGGCCAAUCAAACCGGGAGAUAGCUGGUUCUCCCCGAAAGCUAUUUAGGUAGCGCCUCGUGAACUCAUCUUCGGGGGUAGAGCACUGUUUCGGCUAGGGGGUCAUCCCGACUUACCAACCCGAUGCAAACUACGAAUACCGAAGAAUGUUAUCACGGGAGACACACGGCGGGUGCUAACGUCCGUCGUGAAGAGGGAAACAACCCAGACCGCCAGCUAAGGUCCCAAAGUCAUGGUUAAGUGGGAAACGAUGUGGGAAGGCACAGACAGCCAGGAUGUUGGCUUAGAAGCAGCCAUCAUUUAAAGAAAGCGUAAUAGCUCACUGGUCGAGUCGGCCUGCGCGGAAGAUGUAACGGGGCUAAACCAUGCACCGAAGCUGCGGCAGCGACACUAUGUGUUGUUGGGUAGGGGAGCGUUCUGUAAGCCUGCGAAGGUGUGCUGUGAGGCAUGCUGGAGGUAUCAGAAGUGCGAAUGCUGACAUAAGUAACGAUAAAGCGGGUGAAAAGCCCGCUCGCCGGAAGACCAAGGGUUCCUGUCCAACGUUAAUCGGGGCAGGGUGAGUCGACCCCUAAGGCGAGGCCGAAAGGCGUAGUCGAUGGGAAACAGGUUAAUAUUCCUGUACUUGGUGUUACUGCGAAGGGGGGACGGAGAAGGCUAUGUUAGCCGGGCGACGGUUGUCCCGGUUUAAGCAUGUAGGCUGGUUGUCCAGGCAAAUCCGGAUAAUCAAGGCUGAGGUGUGAUGACGAGGCACUACGGUGCUGAAGUAACAAAUGCCCUGCUUCCAGGAAAAGCCUCUAAGCAUCAGGUAACAUCAAAUCGUACCCCAAACCGACACAGGUGGUCAGGUAGAGAAUACCAAGGCGCUUGAGAGAACUCGGGUGAAGGAACUAGGCAAAAUGGUGCCGUAACUUCGGGAGAAGGCACGCUGGUGUGUAGGUGAAGCCCCUGCGGGUGGAGCUGAGACCAGUCGAAGAUACCAGCUGGCUGCAACUGUUUAUUAAAAACACAGCACUGUGCAAACACGAAAGUGGACGUAUACGGUGUGACGCCUGCCCGGUGCCGGAAGGUUAAUUGAUGGGGUUAUCCGUAAGGAGAAGCUCUUGAUCGAAGCCCCGGUAAACGGCGGCCGUAACUAUAACGGUCCUAAGGUAGCGAAAUUCCUUGUCGGGUAAGUUCCGACCUGCACGAAUGGCGUAAUGAUGGCCAGGCUGUCUCCACCCGAGACUCAGUGAAAUUGAACUCGCUGUGAAGAUGCAGUGUACCCGCGGCAAGACGGAAAGACCCCGUGAACCUUUACUAUAGCUUGACACUGAACAUUGAGCCUUGAUGUGUAGGAUAGGUGGGAGGCUUUGAAGCGUGGACGCCAGUCUGCGUGGAGCCAACCUUGAAAUACCACCCUUUAAUGUUUGAUGUUCUAACGUUGGCCCCUGACCGGGGUUGCGGACAGUGUCUGGUGGGUAGUUUGACUGGGGCGGUCUCCUCCCAAAGCGUAACGGAGGAGCACGAAGGUUAGCUAAUCCUGGUCGGACAUCAGGAGGUUAGUGCAAUGGCAUAAGCUAGCUUGACUGCGAGCGUGACGGCGCGAGCAGGUGCGAAAGCAGGUCAUAGUGAUCCGGUGGUUCUGAAUGGAAGGGCCAUCGCUCAACGGAUAAAAGGUACUCCGGGGAUAACAGGCUGAUACCGCCCAAGAGUUCAUAUCGACGGCGGUGUUUGGCACCUCGAUGUCGGCUCAUCACAUCCUGGGGCUGAAGUAGGUCCCAAGGGUAUGGCUGUUCGCCAUUUAAAGUGGUACGCGAGCUGGGUUUAGAACGUCGUGAGACAGUUCGGUCCCUAUCUGCCGUGGGCGCUGGAGAAUUGAGGGGGGCUGCUCCUAGUACGAGAGGACCGGAGUGGACGCAUCACUGGUGUUCGGGUUGUCAUGCCAAUGGCACUGCCCGGUAGCUAAAUGCGGAAGAGAUAAGUGCUGAAAGCAUCUAAGCACGAAACUUGCCCCGAGAUGAGUUCUCCCUGAGACUUUAAGUCUCCUGAAGGAACGUU
Molecule: ribosomal RNA, 2825 nt
Filed under: Klebsiella pneumoniae
Lineage: Bacteria; Pseudomonadati; Pseudomonadota; Gammaproteobacteria; Enterobacterales; Enterobacteriaceae
Description: partial 23S ribosomal RNA
Rfam family: Bacterial large subunit ribosomal RNA
Source: RNAcentral